GGUGCGUUAGGGAAGAGGUUUAACCCGCUCCAUUUGGGAUGGAGAGAUCGCUGGUUCGAAUCCGGCACGUGCCC
Molecule: non-coding RNA, 74 nt
Organism: Astrocystis sublimbata
Lineage: Eukaryota; Fungi; Ascomycota; Sordariomycetes; Xylariales; Xylariaceae
Source: the annotation of a GenBank genome assembly